Molecule: long non-coding RNA, 1515 nt
Filed under: Mus musculus (house mouse)
Lineage: Eukaryota; Metazoa; Chordata; Mammalia; Rodentia; Muridae
Description: long non-coding RNA chr10:128196070-128197585
Source: RNAcentral
UCAAGACAGGCUUUCUCUGUGUAGCCCUGGCUGUCCUGGAACUCACUCUGUAACCCAGGCUGGCCUCAAACUCAGAGAUCCAUCUGCCUCCACCUCCCCAGUGCUGGGAUUAAAGUCAUAUGGCACUACUACCUGGAUGUGACUGAAUAUUUGUAGGAGACCUAGUUUUUUGUGGCUGCUUGUGUUCCAGGGAACUAAUUGGUAAAGGUCUUAAACCUUGGCUCCCUUUGGAAGGUAAAGGAGGUUGGCAAAGAGGAAAUACAUUCUGAUUAUUAAUUCUAAUAAUUCUGAUUAUUUAAAAGUAUAUAGUUUAGGGCUUCAGACCCAGACAUUCAGAGUACUUGUUACUCUGGCAAAGGACUUGGAUCUGAUUUCCAGCACAGCACGUGAUGGCUCACAACCAUCUGUAAAUCCCAGGGACUCACAUGGGCAUUCAUACACACACAAAUCUUAGGAAACACUUAAAAAUAAAAUACUUGCCAGGCGUGGUGGCUCAUGCCUUUAAUCCCAGCACUCGGGAGGCAGAGGCGGGCAGAUUUCUGAGUUCAAGGGCAGCCUGGUCUACAAAGUGAGUUCCAGGACAGCCAGGGCUACACAGAGAAACCCUGUCUUAAAACAAACAAACAAACAAACAAACACCUAAUAAAACCAAAAUACUUAGCUUCGUUUUAUUCUGUUUUUAAAAAGAAUACUGUGAUAGGUGCUAGAGAGGUGGCUCAGAAGUUUAAAACACUUGAUACUUUUUGUUUGUUUCUUUCUUUUUUCUGAGACAAAGUUUCUCUGUGUAACCCUGGCUGUCCUGGAACUCACUCAGGACUGUCCUCAAACUGACAAAUACCCUCCUACCUCUUCUUCCCAGUACUUCCAAGGCUGAGAUUGAAGGUGUGUGCCACCACCAUCCUGCUUGGUUUAUGAACUUUUUAAAAAUGUAUAUAGGUGUUUUGCUUUGUAUAUGUGUCUGUGUACCACAUGCAAGCCUGGAACUUGCUGAGAUCAGAGGAGGUGUUGGAUCCCCUGAAACUGGAGCCACUACAUGGGUAUUAGGAAUUGAACCCAGGUCCUCUGUAAGAACAACUGCUCUUAACCACUAAGCUAGCUCUUCAGCCCUGGAGUAUGUGAUACUCCUGAAGAGGGCCCAUGCCCAGUUUCCAGCACCCACUUGGUGGUUAGCGCAACUAUCCAUAACUCUAGUUCCAGGGUACCUGGUUUGUUCUGACUUCUCAGGGUACCAGGCUGGGUGUGUUGGCCUUUAGUCCCAGUAUUCUGGAGGCAGAGGCAGAAGGAUUUCUGUGAGUUCCAGGACUGCCUGAACUACAUAGUAAGUUCUGAGAUAGCCAGGCCUACAUAGAAAGACCCUUAGAACAAACAAACAAAAUCCUAGAUAAGUCAAAGAUGAAAAUAAAAACCCCAGUAUUAGAGAUAACUAGUUAAUACUGUGAUAUAACCAUAUGUAUCUUAUAUAUGUUAUGUAUGUAUGUGCUUGUAAUUUAACAAAAAUAAAAUUAUGAUAUUCAU